AUGGGAUUGACGGCGGACCUAUGUCCAUCUAACGACUCAAGAUUGGUGCAGUGGUGGACGGAAGCUAGGAAAAGAAUAGAUAAGCAAUCUCGGAAAGGCUUUGACACUUUUGUGAUGCUAAUCUGUUGGACGCUAUGGAAGCAAAGGAACGCGAGAGUAUUUGGCACGGGCAUGAUCAAGAGCGAGUGGGAUACGGUGGACAUGAUCUUUGAUAAUCUGAGGACCUGGGCCAGAGCAGGAGCCUUCGGAGGUCAUCUAUUAUUAGAGUAG
This 270-nucleotide ribosomal RNA is filed under the name Triticum aestivum (bread wheat). Its description in RNAcentral is "partial small subunit ribosomal RNA". Lineage: Eukaryota; Viridiplantae; Streptophyta; Magnoliopsida; Poales; Poaceae. The record is from RNAcentral.